GUGGGGAAUAUUGGACAAUGGGGGGAACCCUGAUCCAGCCAUGCCGCGUGUGUGAAGAAGGCCUUUUGGUUGUAAAGCACUUUAAGCGAGGAGGAGGCUACCGAGAUUAAUACUCUUGGAUAGUGGACGUUACUCGCAGAAUAAGCACCGGCUAACUCUGUGCCAGCAGCCGCGGUAAUACAGAGGGUGCAAGCGUUAAUCGGAUUUACUGGGCGUAAAGCGCGCGUAGGUGGCCAAUUAAGUCAAAUGUGAAAUCCCCGAGCUUAACUUGGGAAUUGCAGUCGAUACUGGUUGGCUAGAGUAUGGGAGAGGAUGGUAGAAUGCCAGGUGUAGCGGUGAAAUGCGUAGAGAUCUUGAGGAAUACCGAUGGCGAAGGCAGCCAUCUGGCCUAAUACUGACACUGAGGUGCGAAAGCAUGGUGAGCAAACAGGAUUAGAAACCCUGGUAGUCC
RNAcentral lists this ribosomal RNA (451 nucleotides) under uncultured bacterium. RNAcentral's name for it is "partial 16S ribosomal RNA". It matches the Rfam family "Bacterial small subunit ribosomal RNA", at positions 354 to 796 of the family's 1533-position model. The record is from RNAcentral.